CUUCUUACUACAUCCUCGCGACUAAUGAGAGGACUGAAACGGGUUAUUGAUACUCUAGCUGAUUAGCUGUUAGUCAAUAUUCAAUACUCUCAUUAGCCGCGCGAAUCGGUUGUAGCCGAAGAGGCUCAUACAAUAAUAAUGUUAUUUAACUUCUGUGCGGCUAAAUAAAGUUCACUGCUGAUUAUUUAU
Molecule: small RNA, 189 nt
Filed under: Moellerella wisconsensis ATCC 35017
Lineage: Bacteria; Pseudomonadati; Pseudomonadota; Gammaproteobacteria; Enterobacterales; Morganellaceae
Description: SraG RNA
Rfam family: SraG RNA
About the family: This RNA was discovered in E. coli during a large scale screen. Evidence was found for specific cleavage of this RNA.
Source: Rfam by way of RNAcentral